This 497-nucleotide ribosomal RNA is filed under the name uncultured bacterium. RNAcentral describes it as "partial 16S ribosomal RNA". It matches the Rfam family "Bacterial small subunit ribosomal RNA", at positions 28 to 507 of the family's 1533-position model. The record is from RNAcentral.
GAUGAACGCUGGCGGCGUGCCUAAUACAUGCAAGUCGAGCGAACAGAUAAGGAGCUUGCGCCUUUGACGUUAGCGGCGGACGGGUGAGUAACACGUGGGUAACCUACCUAUAAGACUGGAAUAACUCCGGGAAACCGGGGCUAAUGCCGGAUAACAUUUAGAACCGCAUGGUUCUAAAGUGAAAGAUGGUUUUGCUAUCACGUAUAGAUGGACCCGCGCCGUAUUAGCUAGUUGGUAAGGUAACGGCUUACCAAGGCAACGGUACGUAGCCGACCUGAAAGGGUGAUCGGCCACACUGGAACUGAGACACGGUCCAGACUCCUACGGGAGGCAGCAGUAGGGACUCUUCCGCAAUGCGCGAAAGCCUGACGGAGCAACGCCGCGUGAGUGCUGACGGUCUUCGGAUCGUAAAACUCUGUUAUUAGGAAAGAACAAAUGUGUUAGUAACUGUGCACGUCUUGACGGUACCUAAUCAGAAAGCCCCGGCUAACUACGUG